GGAACUCCCUCGCCUCACCCCACCUGAUUUUUAUUCCCGUGGGAGCCGGUAGAAAAAACAAAAAAAACUGCGUGACAAAACCUAAUCCUUCCCACGAUCACACCCCACCCAUUUAUCCUCUGCCGCCGUUCCCCACGGACGCCAUGGCUGUCGCAGCCUCCCGAUCUGCGACGCCGCCUACCACAGUCUCCACUCGCGCUGCGAUGUCCGCGGUCUCCACUCAGAUCAAUCCGCCGUUGACCCCGUAUCCUCCCUCCCGAUGGGAUCCGGCCUCCACCACUGUCCACGGGGCAACCGGAUGUCGGGAUCCACCACUCCUCGGCCGCCGAUUGGCCUCCAUGACCGCGCCUCGCCAAUGCUUGCUUCCCCGCAUCCUGCCCUUCAUCGAUAUGGACUCAUGCUCCUCGACCCCAUAGUGCCGUGCUGGAUGCGUGCUCCACAGCUGCACAUCCCCUCCUCGUCGAGCCCUGGCGCAGACGCGUGGGGUGUUGCUGUUCUGGCUGAUGUCCUACCUGUGCAGGCAUGAACACACCUAUCAGAUGUCCUACUCCUACCUGUGUAGGCACGAACACAUGUAUAUGAAUGAUUAAUGGCUGCUGCCUUGAACCAUUAGCACAUUAGUGUUGCCUGCGUUGAUCAAACGUUUGCCCUGUAUAGCCUGCUCAUCGUCGACGGCGGCGGCAAGAUAAGCAGGCUCGAGAUAAUCGCGCUGCUCCACUCGCUCGGGGUCUGUGCGCACGGGACGAGAUCAGCUUGGUGAUGGUAAAUGCACCGUCAAGUUCGACGGGGUCGCCCUCUCCUUCGCAACUUCUCCUCUAACCUUGUCCCUCCUCCAUCUCCGUCGACCACUAGCAGGUCGCCGAGGCCUUCCACGCAUUUGACCAAGACAACAGCGGAUACAUCUGAACUGCCCAGCUCGUGUGCUCCAUGAUGGCAUUACAAGUGGCUGGAGGAAUGGUGUAUGCUCACAAGGUGCGUGAUCCUUCUAUCAAAUUCUGGCUAUAUGUGCAUGGCCUCAUUGGUACUAAUUUAGCUAUACUUGGGUUUCUAUACGCCAAGUUGUUUCACCCAGACAAGAAUCCCACAAAACUUAAUGUGGUGUGGAAGUUUCAGGUACUUCAUUCUCCUCUGCUAUAUUGCGUCGUGUGCUCCACGCCUGUGCCUUCUGAUUCAGGAGUGCCCAGUGACAAAAUGUGUUAUAUUUGUAGAGUCGAUGCUGUUUAAAAAUGGUUUCCACGCAAUGGUUUCCAGUUAUGUGAAACCAAGCCACUGAUGGAGCUAGAGAGGAAGUUCAGGGGGGGCAAAUGAUAAAACAUCUAGACUUGAGGGGGCCAAAUACUAGAUUUAUACUCAUCUACACCCUCUAAAAGUAUUUAAGUGUGAAUACUAUAUUUUGUUAUAACACACAGGAAACCCAAGGUUUGAGGCCAGAGAUUUACCUUGGAUGUUGCAUGUGCAUUACUUACUUUAGCUAAUCGUCCUACCGUCGGGCUUUUAGUUGAAAUUCACUUUAUUUCUUGUAAUGACAUUUUAGGGAUAAUACGAUCGACCCAACAGUUAGCUUUGGGAUGCUUUUUGGGGUCGACUCAUGAAGAUGAUGGCUAGCUUGCACCAACAUUUGUAGCUUCUGUAUAAAUGAUUCAGAUAGUCUACAAGCAAGGGAAAUGAUUAUAGGGAAUAAAUAGCUCAACGACGGCGAUUCAAGCACCGAUGCGGGUGACCUAGCCAUUUGACGCCACCUACUCGACCUACGCAAGCGGCAUCAUGGAGGGCAUGGAGCUCCUGGCCUCCCAAGGACGCCGCCGGGCUCGUCUCGUUAGCCCGCCAUGGUUGCAAUAUAGAAACCCUUAAUGACACACGUGUCCCUUUUUCCCUCCGCGUUGCUUCUGUGGAUCAAAACCCUAGCAAACUCCUCUCCAAACACGCGAUCGAUUCCGUUCGUAUACAUCUGAUGGUUUAACAAAGAUGCAACAAAUUUCAUUUUGUAGUUUUGCCUGUGGAGGUGAUUGUCAUUGAAAAGCAUACUUUUUUGAAUGGAUGUUACUUGCCAACUCGGAUGCCUCUUUAUAUUUUUAAAAUUGUUUGUAAACCAUGGGUGCGACUUCAUUGUUUGCAAAACAUGGAUUCGACUUAUUUCGGCAUUGGUAGUGUGGAAAUUGACAUGGGAUGCACUAUACUGUUGCUUGUUCUUUGGCCAAUCCUAAACAUAAUUCUCUAUUUUUUAUGUGUCUCUAUGUUGAACUCGUACGGGGUUUCUUAGUAUGUAGAGAUAAUAAUAUGCAAAUUCAGUGAUACAUACGCAGAAUGUUUGUUUGUUCUCUUUAAGUAAUUAUACAGAUCAACAAUAUUAAAUAUUAGAUGACACAUUGGCCACAUCAUCCAGUAAAAGUGUUAAUCCUAAUAAAUCAAGGAUGGAUGCUGAUUCUAGACAUUGGUAGAAGCUAAUAAGUUACAUCCUUGAGUAAUACGAGAGAAUUAAUAUUUCGAUGUAGGUAAACCUAUCCAGCACGGUACACAAGCUCUUGUUAGUUGCACUAUAUUAGAAUUUUAACUUCCCAGAUUCGAUUUUUUUUGUACCGAAGCUAAACCUAUCCAGCGUGUUUGACCUGAAGGAACUGACAUGGUUGUCAAAAAGACUAGAGGUAAAUUGCUUGGUACUUACACUGUUAUGUUACUGCUAUUAGUCAUUGCAUGUGAAAAAAUGUAAUGAAUAGACCCUUAUGUUUCAAGGUAUGUAUUUACUGAUAUUUUUUUAGUACUUUCUUGCGAGCGUGUAGUUUUAAAAAGAACAACACAAAGAACACAUAAUUCAUGACACAACUUUGGAUAUCAGUAUAAAAGGUUUUGCCGUGGAGUUUUAUGCGCCAUACUUUUGCCGCUUUUAUUGUGUCCUUUGUUAUAUUCUUUUUUAUUAGAACUAAAAGUUAGCAUGCCGGAAAUGUGGGUUUAAGCCCUGGCCGUCUUCAGUUGACAAAAUUACCCUACUUUUUUUUAUCACAUUUGGAGGAUCUGUCAUUUUGAGAAAGUCAUUAUCUCAACUGCAACCAGGCAGUUUGGCCAAAGAUGUAGGAUGAUCCAGUUCUUUUGGACUCCAAUUGUUUGGAUUGGUACUUUUGAAUUUCUUUCGUAAACGAAUGUGGAGAAUGGGAGAGGAUCUGCAGUUAUAAAAAUUUGUGCAUGGAGUUUUUUUAAGAUCCUAUUGUUGUUUGUCUUUUCCCACUGUAACUGUUCACUAAUUAUGAAAUGAUUUUUCUUUCUUUUGGAUUGAUUGGACUGUCCGACAAGUGGAUUCGUGGGACUAUCUGAGAAGAUGAAACAACUAACUGUUGUUUUACAAUAGGACAAUUGCUCCUGAGAGGUGGAACACUUGGAUGGUGGGUACAUUAAAGCAGAUCAAGUCUCUGAGGCCCUCAUGAUGACAUGGAGCAAUCUUGAGAGUCUACGAUAUGAAGUUUGGUCUUAAAAGGAGAGUCUACGAUAUGAAGUUUGUGUUUGAGUCAAAUACUAUUAGGCAGAUAGGUCUCCUUAUGUUGACAACACUGAAAUGGAGAAUGCAGGUCAUGUUGUCAUCCUCUUUGGAUAAAUUUGGUUAUGGAACCCCUUGAGGUCAAACACUAAGCUUGCGGUGUGCUGAGAACAAAAUGUUGCCAUUAUCAAAUGUUCCAUUAACAUUA
Molecule: long non-coding RNA, 3674 nt
Organism: Triticum aestivum (bread wheat)
Lineage: Eukaryota; Viridiplantae; Streptophyta; Magnoliopsida; Poales; Poaceae
Exons: 3
Source: RefSeq, a predicted model, not a curated record